CCGAUGGUUCCAAAGGAGAAUGAAGGGUCAGCCUUUCAUCAGGGAAACUGGUCCUGGCCUCAGAGUAGGUCUGGAAAGGACAAGGAGCAAGGAAAAUACUUUGAGAAGAAUUGGGCCGGGACCUCGCCAAAGAAAAUAUUUUAUAAAAGUUAAACAAAGAAAAAGAUAUCCGGGAUUUGUCAUUUCCCCUGGAGCCUUUUGUGUUUUGAGCUGAGAAAAAGAGGAUUGAGGCAAGGUCAGGUAACUGAGUUAAAUGGAGGACUGAGGGCUAAAUGAUUCUGUCAAGUGUAUGGAAACACGGGCGAAAUCAGAAUAACAAGAUGAGAGUCCAGUGGGUAUGAGUCAGUGGCUUCCUUUGGGACAAACUGAAAGAAGUUAAUGGCUGGCUGAUGAAAUGGCAAUUCUUCUGUAUGUGGAAAUAUUCAUACCUGAGGAGCUGGAAUGAGCAGUUCUUGACAGAGACGAUACAGAGACAAAUCAGUCAUCAGGAAGGAUUAGAACCCAUCUGAACUGUCUUCCAUCUCUGAGAUCUAUAAAAGCCUUGAUUGGAUGUUGCCAUGGAUCUGUGGUUCCUUCUUUCUUAAUAAAUGAGUGUAGACACCCAAUCUACUUUAGAGGUUCAGACGGUCCUAGUUGUUUAUUAAGCAUCUGAUGUGGGAGGCACAUUCCAGGUGUCCUCCAAUACAUUAUGUCAUUCAAUCCUUCCAACACCCUAGCAGGAAAGGGAUUCUAAAGAUGUGAAGGAAGGCUCAGCAAUAUAAAAAUUCAAUGUAAAUUCAGUAUAGCAAUAUUUAAUGUUAUAAAAAAUCAAUAUCAACUCAAUGAGUGAGGAGUGAAGAGUCUGAACUCAAGGCUUCCUACUAAUUCAAAUCCACAUCUUUCCCUCUCUUCCAUAUUCAAGUUAAGAUAUGGUUAAACUGGAACCUGACUUAUUUGGCAGAAGGGGCCAUAGGUAAAUGGGUAUUUUUAAACUUUCAGCCCUUGGUGACUAAAUUCUGCACAUCCUCUGCUAACUGCAUGUCAGAAGAGCCACCUGUGUUUCCUGCUAUUGCUGAGGCUACUUGGACAGCAUUUUACUCACUGGGUGCUGGAAGCACAGGUGUGGGAACUAGAGUAGAAGCCAAAAAUCUAAUGAUUUUGAACUUCCACAGAACAGGGCUCUGGGCUCUAAAACCUUCAACUGAAGACACAGUGAAAAUAAUGAGAAGCAGUUGCAUUGUUUUCUAUCAUUUUUAGGUUUUAGAGGGGGUGCAGGGAAAAGGGGGUCACUGUAAAUCAUGUAUUUUGUAAGUUACGAGUGUAUUAGAAAAGACUUUUAAAUAUUUGUCGUGUCAUAGUUGAAUAUGAAAUGUAAGUUGCAUUUAAAUUUUCUCAUCAAGCCUGAAGAAAACAAUUUUGCCCCGAGGUAUCCAUCUGUAAGUUUAGCAACAGGCACCAAAUGUAUUUCAUCACAAACUGGAGAGAUAACCCAUAAAACAAGGGUGCUCUGGCAGACAAGAUAAUUCUGAUGAGGUCAACCAUGGAUGGGAAGAGUUCCUCUGCGAGCCUUUGUAGCCCACUGACCCAGAAAGGAAGAGAAGGGGACGACAGAGGAUGAGACAGUUGGAUGGCAUCACUGAC
This is a long non-coding RNA of Cervus elaphus (red deer), 1620 nucleotides long. RefSeq lists it as uncharacterized. The transcript has 3 exons. The record is from RefSeq and is a predicted model, not a curated record. NCBI's taxonomy places the organism in Eukaryota, Metazoa, Chordata, Mammalia, Artiodactyla, Cervidae.